CAUAGUUUUUCCACCAUUCAUUUUUCCCACAGGGCUGUGUUUUGUUUAGGCUCACCGUGGUGUGAUGUUUUGAUAACCAUGUAAAUCUCUCUAGGACAAGGUGACUGAGGGUGAAUGUACACUAGAUAAAUAGCGGUAAAUUGCUGUGUGCCGCUUAGGCCGCCCGUUGUGACUCCGGCAAGAAUUCAGCAGAACAAGUUUGUAUUUGUCCAAAUGGCUGGGAGAACCUAUUCAAGUAGCUAGCUAACAGCCAUGGAGGGUGAAAGGAUAGCAGCCCCAACUGUCAGUGAGAGAGGAGAGAGGAGGCUAUUCUGGAUAAGGCAGGUUUUCUGUCCUCAGAUAAAGAGCGCUAUGAAAGCCAGUCUACAUAUGAAGAGGUCCCAAUGAAGAGCAGUGGUUCUCAGUCCUGGGGACUCAAAGAGGGGCAUAUUGUUGUUUUUGCCUCAGCACUGCACAGCUGAUUCAAAUGAUAAACUCAUUAUCAAGCUUCAAGUGAUACCUUGUAACUGGAGAUUCCUUCAAAACAUUUGCCUACAGUUACCGUGUAGGGCACUGCAAGGUCAGGUGACCAGGGUGUGAAGGCUACCGGUGUCCUGCGUAACUUCAUGAAGAUGGACUCUAGGACCAGGAGAGGACCUGCAGCUCACCGCCAAGUGCCAGAGAAGUCUGCUGCUCUGCAGGAUUGUUCAGUCAUUUUUUUAUCAAUGUUCAUAAAUUCCAAUUAUCUUUAUCUGUCU
Molecule: long non-coding RNA, 737 nt
Organism: Oncorhynchus tshawytscha (Chinook salmon)
Lineage: Eukaryota; Metazoa; Chordata; Actinopteri; Salmoniformes; Salmonidae
Source: Ensembl